AACGAACGUUAGCGGCGCGCUUAACACAUGCAAGUCGUGCGAGAAAGGGCUUCGGCCCCGGUAAAGCGGCGCACGGGUGAGUAACACGUAGGUCAUCUACCCUCGAGUGGGGGACAACCCUCCGAAAGGAGGGCUAAUACCGCAUAAGACCACUUUAGUGGCCAAAGCGGGCCUCUCCAUGGAAGCUCGCGCUUGAGGAUGAGCCUGCGGCCCAUCAGUUUGUUGGUAGGGUAACGGCCUACCAAGGCGGAGACGGGUAGCCGGUCUGAGAGGAUGAGCAGCCACACUGGAACUGAGACACGGUCCAGACUCCUACGGGAGGCAGCAGUGGGGAAUCUUGCGCAAUGGGCGAAAGCCUGACGCAGCGACGCCGCGUGAGCGAUGAAGGCCUUCGGGUUGUAAAGCUCUGUGGGGAGGGAAGAAUAAGGGCAGGCCAAUACCCUGUCUGAUGACGGUACCUCCUUAGCAAGCACCGGCUAACUCUGUGCCAGCAGCCGCGGUAAGACAGAGGGUGCAAACGUUGUUCGGAAUUACUGGGCGUAAAGCGCGUGUAGGCUGCUCUGCAAGUCGGAUGUGAAAGCCCUCGGCUCAACCGAGGAAGAGCACCCGAAACUGCAGGGCUAGAGUCCCGGAGAGGAACGUAAAAGUC
This 649-nucleotide ribosomal RNA is filed under the name uncultured bacterium. RNAcentral's name for it is "bacterial SSU rRNA". It matches the Rfam family "Bacterial small subunit ribosomal RNA", at positions 28 to 669 of the family's 1533-position model. The record is from RNAcentral.